Long non-coding RNA from Micropterus salmoides (largemouth bass), 701 nucleotides. RefSeq lists it as uncharacterized. The record is from RefSeq and is a predicted model, not a curated record. NCBI's taxonomy places the organism in Eukaryota, Metazoa, Chordata, Actinopteri, Centrarchiformes, Centrarchidae. The transcript has 4 exons.
CAUCCUGGUGAUGCAUCACUCCAUGAAACCUCAUCCCACCAUCACUGCCACGCUGCUAGAGGGGGAGCAGCGUCUGGCUGCUCCGCUACCUCACCCCCUCCAUCUACACAGACUGAAUGUUUCUGUCUCGGUUCAGUUCCCAGAUGAGACGCUGUGGAGCGUUUAGCUGCUCAACAUGAUCGUAGCUGUCAGACUCCACACAGUUUAGUCUCUAGACUGGGAGACCUUCGAACAGUACAGCACCUGGCAGCUGUUCCUGGCCCACAGCAUCCCCCUGCAGACCAUCAUCUCCAUCCUGCAGUACCUUAAAUUUAAAGAACACCAAGGCCUUGUCCUGUCUGCUGCUGCUCUGCAGAGAGAAGCCCAGUGAGGAGAUGGUGAAGAUUUUCCUGAGUUGUCCCUGUCACCCCGAGGACCAGUUCAGCACCAGCAUCCUGAGACACUGGGCGUUCAAUCACGACAACACGCUGAGAGAACGCAUCAAGGCCCAGCUGGUCGAGAAUAGGGAUGCAACGAUUACAGAUUUUGUUGGUAUGAUUAUUGUCAGAAAUCAGUUUCAUGAUUAUUAUGCAUUAAUUAAUUUCACAACAAUAAUGACAUAAGUUGAUUUUUAAUUAAUUGCAUUAACAAUUUCUAUAAUAUGUAAGUAUUUAUAUAAGGAAUAUUAACUAACCAGGGUUGUCAUAAAGGAGGGGAAUAAA